RNAcentral lists this unclassified non-coding RNA (253 nucleotides) under uncultured Pseudobdellovibrionaceae bacterium. RNAcentral's name for it is "uncultured Bdellovibrionaceae bacterium contains 16S-23S intergenic spacer region". It matches the Rfam family "Bacterial small subunit ribosomal RNA", at positions 524 to 776 of the family's 1533-position model. Lineage: Bacteria; Pseudomonadati; Bdellovibrionota; Bdellovibrionia; Bdellovibrionales; Pseudobdellovibrionaceae. The record is from RNAcentral.
GACGAGGGGUCCUAGCGUUGUUCGGAAUCAUUGGGCGUAAAGCGCAUGUAGGCGGCUAUCUAAGUCAGGUGUGAAAGCCCCGGGCUCAACCCGGGAAGUGCAUUUGAUACUGGAUAGCUUGAAUACUGGAGAGGAUAGUAGAAUUCCUGGUGUAGUGGUGAAAUACGUAGAUAUCAGGAGGAAUACCGGUGGCGAAGGCGGCUAUCUGGCCAUGUAUUGACGCUGAGAUGCGAAAGCGUGGGGAGCAAACAGG